Molecule: long non-coding RNA, 392 nt
Organism: Dromaius novaehollandiae (emu)
Lineage: Eukaryota; Metazoa; Chordata; Aves; Casuariiformes; Dromaiidae
Exons: 2
Source: RefSeq, a predicted model, not a curated record
AGCUUAUUGGACCAGUUUCUCUCAGUGUAAUCCAGGCACACACUUUUCAUUCUUUUAUGUACUUUGCAGCAUUGUCAUGAAUUGUCUGUCUGCAGAAGUUAAAAACAUUUGGCUUUUCAAGACCCAGCAUGAGAAAGAUUACUGCUGUUCUACAGAGACUGAAAGUGGUCUGAUAUAAAUAAAAGAAACAUGAGAAAACAACUACACAGGUAAGAAAUAACAUGCUUUUUUAAUGACAAACAUGUUAAAUUCCACAUAUAACCGUAAUGGACCAACCGCCUUGCAUGAUUCAGUGCAAUGUUGACUACAGCCAAUGGGGCGGGCGCACUUUGUUCAAUUAGUGGCUUCCUGAACAAUUAAAAAAAAAAAAAGACCAAUGAGUUUAUGAAUAA